Molecule: long non-coding RNA, 1447 nt
Organism: Echinops telfairi (small Madagascar hedgehog)
Lineage: Eukaryota; Metazoa; Chordata; Mammalia; Afrosoricida; Tenrecidae
Exons: 3
Source: RefSeq, a predicted model, not a curated record
GUCCCUGGUGGGGGGGCACCGACCUGAAUGAUCUUCUCGGGAAUGUUGGAGACGGUGAAGCCGUAGAGGCGCACGCGCUCCGGGAAGAUGCUGGACAGGAUCCUGCGGUCCAGCUGGAAGGCGAUCUCCCCCACCAGCCGUUCCCAGGCCAUCUGCCGGGACUCUGGGCGAGAGCGAGGCUGCGCUUCCGCUCCAGCUCCAGGACGCUCUUCCGCGAUGUUUCCGAGGCGCGCGCCCCUCGUGCAUCGUUGACCGAAGCCGGCAAGGACGACAUGCGAGUCGGGGAGUGGGAAGGGGCCCGGGGCCGGCUGGGCGAGCGGGUGGCACCGUGGGCGACGUUCGUCUCGCUAGGGGAAGCGCCGUUGGAGGCAGCAGCUUGCGGGUUGGGGAUAGAAUCCCUGGGAUCUGGGGCGGAGGAGCUGGCACAAGAGACUAUGGAGCCAGUGCAGACGACCACCUGCCCCUGGGGGGCACUGGGCUGGGUUCGCACAUUAGAGGCGCCAUAGAAGGCCGCUGGGCUGGUGGGGGUGGACGAGAGCAAUGGUGGCCCCACAAAGGUCACGCUGAGGGGCUCCGCCGAGUCCUGGGACGACCUCAUGUUCUCUGUUGACGUCAGGACCACUAGGUAAGAGGAGGAUUGGAAGCUGGGCCCCACCCGCCCAGACCGGCCAUCCUGCUUGUGUCCCGUACCUUUGCCGUGAGUGCCUGUGGCCUGGGAUCCAGAAGAACAUCUCCGCAUGGUCUCAGACAGCCGCACCCUUGUGGACUCCGAGGUCACCGUGUUGCCCAAGGGGCUGGCCAGCAGGCUCUGAGGCUACUGCAAUCUUGGGCCUUCCCGGUGAGCCUGUCGCCAUCCUUCUGAAGAUACUGAUCUCAGGCUCCCAGCACCACUGCCCCAGGCCCCCUGCCCGAGGACCUGGCUCCCUCCCUGCAGCUCCAUGUGUCCAUGACCUGGCCCCGGCCCCCGGCUGUGGCCUUCGUCCUGGAUCUCUGGCCCCAUCUCCUCGAAUCUUCCAGCAUUGGUCUCUCAAGAUCUUAAGACCGUGCUUCCAAGGACUGGACCCCCCUACACUGCACCUUCUUCACACUCCCUCCAGACCUCUUCUGGGCAGGCCAGGGUGGGGCCUGGGGAGCAAAGAGCAGGCGGGAGGAACCUAGGCUGGGUCAGCCUGAGUGGGGCAUUCCACCAGACCUCACAAUGAGGGGGAGCCCCCACCCCCUCGUGCCCCGGAGACUGUGACCCCAUGAGUCGCCGGGGCCCUGGGCUAGGCUGAGGGUCUUUUCAUCUCGGCUCGGUGCACCAACCUCAGCCUUGCCCUGUCCCCUCAGUCACUCUGUCCCCUCAGUCUCGAGCCCUGUCCAUCAGCUGGGCGGGUGACUGCAAGGCGAAGCCAGCCCCUAGCACAUCAUUAUGGGUUCGGUGGGCACAAUUGUACAGCGAUAAUAA